GACGAACGCUGGCGGCGUGCUUAACACAUGCAAGUCGAACGGAAAGGCCCUGCUUGCAGGGUACUCGAGUGGCGAACGGGUGAGUAACACGUGGGUGAUCUGCCCUGCACUUCGGGAUAAGCUUGGGAAACUGGGUCUAAUACCGGAUAGGAGCCAUCUUUAGUGUGGUGGUUGGAAAGUUUUUUCGGUGUAGGAUGAGCUCGCGGCCUAUCAGCUUGUUGGUGGGGUAAUGGCCUACCAAGGCGGCGACGGGUAGCCGGCCUGAGAGGGUGUACGGCCACAUUGGGACUGAGAUACGGCCCAGACUCCUACGGGAGGCAGCAGUGGGGAAUAUUGCACAAUGGGCGCAAGCCUGAUGCAGCGACGCCGCGUGGGGGAUGAAGGCCUUCGGGUUGUAAACUCCUGUCGCUAGGGACGAAGCUUUGUUGUGACGGUACCUAGAUAAGAAGCACCGGCUAACUACGUG
This 466-nucleotide ribosomal RNA is filed under the name uncultured bacterium. RNAcentral's name for it is "partial 16S ribosomal RNA". It matches the Rfam family "Bacterial small subunit ribosomal RNA", at positions 28 to 507 of the family's 1533-position model. The record is from RNAcentral.